GUGAAUCAUCGAAUCUUUGAACGCAUAUUGCGCCCCUUGGUAUUCCUUGGGGCACACCUGUUCGAGCGUCAUUUCACCAAUCAAGCCUCGCUUGGUAUUGGGCGAUGCGCAUGCCGCACGCCCCAAAUGCACCGGCCGAGCGUGCUCUCCCCCGGCGUCGUGGAGACAUAUCGCCAUGGGGAUGGGACCGCCCUCGCGCCGCAAAAACCUCUCAUAAAGGUUGACCUCGGAUCAGGUGGGGAUACCCGCUGAACUUAAGCAUAUCAAUAAGCGGAGGA
Molecule: unclassified non-coding RNA, 278 nt
Filed under: Capnodiales sp.
Lineage: Eukaryota; Fungi; Ascomycota; Dothideomycetes; Capnodiales
Description: partial contains 5.8S ribosomal RNA, internal transcribed spacer 2, and large subunit ribosomal RNA
Rfam family: 5.8S ribosomal RNA (bases 1-71)
Source: RNAcentral